This 78-nucleotide transfer RNA is filed under the name Streptomyces antnestii. RNAcentral describes it as "Streptomyces sp. San01 tRNA-Thr". It matches the Rfam family "tRNA". Rfam says of the family: Transfer RNA (tRNA) molecules are approximately 80 nucleotides in length. Lineage: Bacteria; Bacillati; Actinomycetota; Actinomycetes; Kitasatosporales; Streptomycetaceae. The record is from RNAcentral.
GCCCCCUUAGCUCAGUUGGUUUAGAGCGCGUGAUUUGUAAUCUCGAGGUCGUCGGUUCGAAUCCGACAGGGGGCUCCA